This 442-nucleotide ribosomal RNA is filed under the name uncultured bacterium. RNAcentral describes it as "bacterial SSU rRNA". It matches the Rfam family "Bacterial small subunit ribosomal RNA", at positions 68 to 507 of the family's 1533-position model. The record is from RNAcentral.
GGCAGCACGGGAGCAAUCCUGGUGGCGAGUGGCGAACGGGUGAGUAAUAUAUCGGAACGUGCCCAGUCGUGGGGGAUAACGUAGCGAAAGCUACGCUAAUACCGCAUACGAUCAUGGAUGAAAGCGGGGGAUCGCAAGACCUCGCGCGAUUGGAGCGGCCGAUAUCAGAUUAGGUAGUUGGUGAGGUAAAGGCUCACCAAGCCGACGAUCUGUAGCUGGUCUGAGAGGACGACCAGCCACACUGGGACUGAGACACGGCCCAGACUCCUACGGGAGGCAGCAGUGGGGAAUUUUGGACAAUGGGCGCAAGCCUGAUCCAGCAAUGCCGCGUGCAGGAUGAAGGCCUUCGGGUUGUAAACUGCUUUGUACGGAACGAAACGGCGAGCUCUAAUACAGUUUGCUAAUGACGGUACCGUAAGAAUAAGCACCGGCUAACUACGUG